This is an RNA transcript of Magnolia sinica, 1632 nucleotides long. It is a transcript of the gene named protein SAWADEE HOMEODOMAIN HOMOLOG 2-like, with no coding region annotated. The record is from RefSeq and is a predicted model, not a curated record. Lineage: Eukaryota; Viridiplantae; Streptophyta; Magnoliopsida; Magnoliales; Magnoliaceae. The transcript has 11 exons.
AAAAAAAAAAAAAAAAAAAAAAAAAGAAGAAGAAAAAGGAAAAAGAAAAAUUCGAGGUGAGAAAAUUUCGAAAAAUAGAUACUCUAGAGGGAGCUUAUUAUUAUUAUUUCUGUUGCAGAAAGAGACAUAGACUCAAACAAGAAGAAGCUGAAAAACGAAGAUAGAUUGAAAUCAGAUGGGGCGACCUCCACAUGGCGGAGGCCCUGCCUUCCGUUUCACCCCCACCGAGGUGGUGGAGAUGGAAGCAGCUCUGCAAGAAACUGAUAGUGCAAUACCUGCCCGUGAAGUCAUCUGCUCUCUUGCAGAUAAAUUCAGUGCGUCUGAAGACCGAGCAGGAAAGAUUGUUGUGCAACCGAAGCAGGUGUUGAAUUGGUUCCAAAAUAGGAGGUACGCACAAAGGGUAAAAAUGAGUAAGGCUCCAGGAAAGCUAAAUGUCUCACCCAUGAUUCGGGACGAAUCAGUUCCAUCGAGAAAUGUGCCUAUUCCAGUUCCCGUUCCUUCAGGAGGCACCCAGAUGGAGUUUGAAGCCAAAUCAGCUAGGGAUGGGGCAUGGUAUGAUGUUUCAACCUUUAUUUCUCACAGGAUGUUUGAGACAAGCGACCCGGAAGUUCGGGUUCGGUUUUCAGGAUUUGGCGCAGAGGAGGAUGAGUGGAUUAAUGUGCGCAAGUGUGUGAGACAGCGGUCUCUGCCAUGUGAAGCCACGGAAUGUGCUGCCGUAGUUCCUGGAGACCUUAUACUCUGUUUUCAGGAAGGUAAAGAGCAGGCAUUGUACUUUGAUGCUCAUGUCCUUGAUGCUCAAAGACGAAGGCAUGAUGUACGGGGUUGUCGUUGUAGGUUCCUAGUUCGUUAUGACCAUGAUCAGUCUGAGGAAAUAGUACCACUAAGAAAAAUCUGUCGUCGGCCUGAAACUGAUUAUCGGUUGCAACGACUGCAUGCAUCCAAGGAUUCAGCAUCUGUGGGGCAACAGAACAUGAUGAAAGAUCCUUCUUUGGUAAGCUCUUCCAGUGAUUUCAAUUCGGCAGGCCUGAAGACCCGAAGGCAACGCAAAGUGGAAGGCAGUACAAUGGGCGAUACAGGUACUACAACUUCAGUUCCUCUUACAAAUGAGACUGCAAAUGUGGAAACUACUAUGACAAUGAAGGUUGAAAAUAACAAAGCACUACCAGAUACCUGCACCAGCAAUGUUACAUUGUCCAUUGCCAGUGGUGAAAAUGUGCAAGAAACAUAGUCAGGUGUGCAAGGUCCAAGUUGCUCAUCAGGAGGACCCCUUCGUGUAGAUCCCAUGGCCCAAAAAUCAGGUUUGUCUGCUCCUCAGGGCAUAUUCACAAUGGUGGCCACUUGGUGAGCAGUUUGGAUCCUGCGCAAGUUGGCACACAUGAGCUGCAAGUUUAUUGGAAGAUGCAAUCACACAAGUUCUUUUAUCAGGGCUGAAAUAGUUCACAAUGAGAAGUACAUUUUUAUUACAGACUGGAAUUUUUAAAUUUUCAAAAGAAAUACUUCAACCAUAUUCAUUUUUUUUUCUUUUUUCCUUUUUGGUAUUUGUAUCUCUUAUCUGUAUUCACAUUAUUAGACUCAAGGUAAUUUUGGAAUAUUGCCUUUUAAAUAUGUGAAAAAGGACCGAUCUUGGUUGCA